Molecule: long non-coding RNA, 219 nt
Filed under: Lathyrus oleraceus (garden pea)
Lineage: Eukaryota; Viridiplantae; Streptophyta; Magnoliopsida; Fabales; Fabaceae
Description: Pisum sativum (pea) long non-coding RNA (PSAT_LNC026752)
Source: RNAcentral
AAACUUUUCCGAUGUAUCUAGAUUGGGCCUCUCUUCCCUCUAACUCUAUAUACUUUCCCAGUUUUCUCAUAAUUAAAGUUUUUUCAAUAAAUAUUAUUUUGAACGAUCCUAAUUCAGGGGGGAAAUUAGAACAGUGGCCUUUUUAAAGUAAAACAAAUGGAAGAAAAUAAAAGAACAAAAAGAAAAAAAAAACACACAAAUAGAAAAAUCAAAAUAAAA